AGCUUUGCGCAGUGGCAGUAUUGUAGCCAAUGAGGUUUAUCCGAGGCGCGAUUAUUGCUAAUUAAAAGCGUAUGAAACUUGAGGUAUAUCAGCUAGCCUUAUAUUUCCUUACAGAUUUUUGUAUGGUCUAUUUGGUU
This is a small nuclear RNA of Heterocephalus glaber (naked mole-rat), 137 nucleotides long. Its record names the gene U4. It matches the Rfam family "U4 spliceosomal RNA". From Rfam's summary of the family: U4 small nuclear RNA (U4 snRNA) is a component of the major U2-dependent spliceosome. Lineage: Eukaryota; Metazoa; Chordata; Mammalia; Rodentia; Bathyergidae. The record is from Ensembl.